CAUUUGUAUUGUAAAUGUAUUACAAUAUAUUACAUUUAUAUUACAAAUGUAAUACAUUGUAUUGCAAUUUAUUCCAUUUAUAUUACAAAUGU
RNAcentral lists this transfer RNA (92 nucleotides) under Amborella trichopoda. RNAcentral's name for it is "tRNA AMTR_s00018t00278710". The record is from RNAcentral. Lineage: Eukaryota; Viridiplantae; Streptophyta; Magnoliopsida; Amborellales; Amborellaceae.